CGUUCUUCGGAAUUAUUGGGCGUAAAGGGCGCGUAGGCGGCUUUUCAAGUGACGGGUGAAAUCCCUCGGCUUAACCGAGGAACUGCCUGUCAGACUGGAAGGCUUGAGACCGGGAGAGGUGAGUGGAAUUCCCAGUGUAGCGGUGAAAUGCGUAGAUAUUGGGAGGAACACCAGUGGCGAAGGCGGCUCACUGGACCGGAACUGACGCUGAGGCGCGAAAGCGUGGGGAGCAAACAGG
This 238-nucleotide ribosomal RNA is filed under the name uncultured bacterium. RNAcentral's name for it is "partial 16S ribosomal RNA". It matches the Rfam family "Bacterial small subunit ribosomal RNA", at positions 539 to 776 of the family's 1533-position model. The record is from RNAcentral.